RNAcentral lists this ribosomal RNA (252 nucleotides) under uncultured Bacteroidales bacterium. RNAcentral's name for it is "partial 16S ribosomal RNA". It matches the Rfam family "Bacterial small subunit ribosomal RNA", at positions 524 to 776 of the family's 1533-position model. Lineage: Bacteria; Pseudomonadati; Bacteroidota; Bacteroidia; Bacteroidales. The record is from RNAcentral.
UAAGGAGGAUGCGAGCGUUAUCCGGAUUUAUUGGGUUUAAAGGGUGCGCAGGCGGUCUGUUAAGUCAGCGGUCAAAGCCCGGGGCUCAACCCCGGCCCGCCGUUGAAACUGGGGAUCUAGAGUGUGCGAGAGGUAUGCGGAAUGCGUGGUGUAGCGGUGAAAUGCAUAGAUAUCACGCAGAACCCCGAUUGCGAAGGCAGCGUGCCGUGCCGCCACUGACGCUGAGGCACGAAAGCGCGGGGAUCGAACAGG